UCUGAAAUUGUAUUUUCUGUUACAGGGUUCUAGACCUCUGCAGGAAUGUAAAAGAAAGAAUAGUAAGAGAAUGCAAAGAAAAAGGUGUCCAGUUUGCACCCCUUUCCACCUGCAGGGUGACACAGACUUAUGAUGCAGGAGCAUGCGUCUAUUUCUAUUUUGCCUUUAACUACAGAGGAAUCGGUGAGCCUCUUCAUGUCUAUGAACAAGUUGAGACAGCUGCUAGAGAGGAAAUUCUUGCAAAUGGAGGAAGCUUGUCACAUCACCAUGGAGUGGGGAAAUUGCGGAAACAGUGGAUGAAGGAGACUAUCUCUGAUGUUGGAUUGGGAAUGCUUAGGUCUGUCAAAGAAUACGUGGACCCUAAUAAUAUCUUUGGAAACAGAAACCUUUUAUAAAACCACUUAAGGUCUGAUGUACUAAAUUUAAAAAUGACUGUCAAAAUUCCUUUUAAACAUUUUCAUUGUAUUGGUAUCCCAGUAAUCAAAUAUAACAUGGACUAAACUAUAAAAGCUAGUAUUUUUCUUACUUUUAUUUUCCUCCAGUAAAAUGUAAAUGUUCAUUGUUUAAUGUUUACAGAUUUACUUAUGCUCCUAAACCUCUCAACAGGCAUCCAAACAGAGUUGUAUCAAGGUAUUUUAUCAGCCUGGAAAUGCAGAUUUGGCAUUUCAGGUUGGGUUAGGCAGCACAGCUGAUGAUCGUAGUUUCCAUGUUGGAUUCAGCCAGCUGUUUUUUUUACUAAGCCAUCCCCUACAAGGCGAACAAAGACUGACACCAGUGGUUUCUACAGAAGCAGCUGCUCACCCAGCCUCUUCCUAGAGGAAAGCUGCUAGGAAACAGAUGAGAGGUGGAUUACAUCAAGGAAUGCUUCUGUGUGCUGAAAGGUUAAGUGUGUAGCAGAUCCAGAAAUGUGUAAAAGAAUAAACGCAGGCUUUGUUUAGAAGAUUAGCAUGCUUCUAUAGAAUAUGUGGCUUGCCAGUCUCCUGUUCAGCAUCAAUGAAAACUAUGAAAUCUUUGAGAACUCUUCUUGUUGUCUGAGUUUUAUAUUUGUAUUGCUGGGAUAAUCUUUAAUAUAUCCUAGAUAGUUGUAAGUUUUGUACAGAACAGCAGACAUUUUUCACUGUAUGUUACAAACAGGUUUGUUUAUAUAAAUUUGCCUUCAUCACUGCAAUCCUAAUGUGUCUGGUUUCACUUCCUUAUUUUUGCAGAGAUGUGGAACAAACCCUUUUCCAAUAGAAAACAUGUUUUGGUUAUUUUAAAAUAAAAGUUUUCCCAGCACCAUGUCAUUUGAAGUGGUCUCAACAGUUUUAUUAGAGUAAAAUGGAAGAUAUACUGUUAUCUUAAAAUGAAGUUUCCAGUUUUAAUAUUCUGUAACUUCUUAUGGCCUUUUUGAAUUAUUGGUUUACUUGAAGAGUAACUACAGAUAUAAUCAGCGUAAUCAACAUACACAACUUUUCUUAAUCAGUCAGUGCAACUAUCAGUCAGUCACUAAACAUUUUUACAUUGAAACCUAGAUCUUGAAAUUAGCAAAAUGAAAACUUAAACUAUUUGCUGUCAAUAUUCAAGACUCAUGUUUUAAGUGCAUUCUUUUCUUAAACUUGCCAAGUUUUUGAUAUCUAAAAGACAGUAUAGAAUCAUGUAGUAAUAUAAAAUACCAUUUUUUUUUUCCUUUAAGAGGACAUACUGACUCUUUAGUUAACUAACUUUACAACUCUGAGCAAUUUGGACUCCUUUUUAUAUCUGUAAUAAACUAAGGAAAGUUUAACACUGUUUCAAAAUACCAUCUAAUUAUCUGUCAAAUUUUAGUAACAAAACAUUGAAGAUUAUAAUCUAUAUGAUUAAAAAAUAUAGUGUUGAACCAAAAAGUUGAUACUGUUUUAAAACUGAUUUAGGCUAUCUAAUUAAAAAUAAUCUAAAAGAUCAUGAAUACUCAACAGCACUUUAAACUGUAUGAACUCAAGAUUAUACCAAAUUAAAACAACACAAAUAUGUCCAUAGGUCACGAAAUGGGAAGUAAUUAUAUUUUAAUGCAGCUAGAGGGUCUUUUUUAAUGGACUUUGUUUCAUGUAAUUUAUGUAGAGAAAAAAAAAGUGAAUCUAGUCUCCUGAAUCUUAUUUUUAAAGUUUUGGCCCAUGGAGUUCAUAUUUCAGCAGUACUCAAAUUUGUAUUCAGUUCUAGGAAAUUCUGAUUUUCAGCACUGUAUGUGGCUAAGUGUUCCUUAUUCAAUAUCUAUACCAGGUACUUGUCAACAAAGUGAAUUUGUAGAGCAGUGGUUUUCAACCUGUGGUCUGUAGACCCCUGGGGGUACUCAGACUGUCAAAGGGGUCUGUGAGAGAUGACUAUGAUCAAUUAAAAGUAUGUGAAUACUCACACUUACAAAAGGGCCUGCAUCUCCAUUUGAAAUUUUUUAGGAGUCUGUUACUGAAAAACGGUUAAAAACCACUGCUGUAAAAGGGUGUGUGGGUGUGUCUGUGUGUAUGUAUUUAAUGCAGAAGGUUUCUCAACUUCGCAUGCUAUACCAAUGGUGAUUACAUGCUGGCAGCCAGAAUCCUGCUGACUGUUAGUGUCACUCUGAAAUGCAUUAAAAGUCAGUAAUAUGAAAGGGUUUUUUUUCUUAUGUGCCUGAAUAUAAGCAUAGCUUGUCUAGCUAUGAAGAAUCAUAACUCUGAAGGAAUGUGUGCAGAUAGUUGAAAAAUUGCUUCUUGUAUGUGGUAUGUGACAGCACAUGCAGGAUUAAAGCAACAAGGAUUUGGCUUCCUCAUGGUCAUUUUGAGCUCAGUAUGAGCUAGUGUACUCUUUUUUUUUCCCCAAAAAACCUUUUGGCUCAUUUUGAAUGAAAGUACUACUGUUUUCCCUCCGAGAGCUACCUUUCUAACCCAUGUUGCCCAUCUUUUCUAAUGUUGAUAAGUUACACAGAUAACUUUUUUUUCAAUGUGGCUGCCAAGAAAUAAAACCAAGUGACUUGGAAAGUGGAUGUUAUGAAGUAAAAGCUCACAAACCACACAAGUUAGUUAUGUCUGAUUUAAUAUGAUGAAAUAACAAAGGCUCUGGUGUGCAAAUAUAGCAAUGGAUAGGCCUGAGAAGGACAAAAUAGAACUUUAAUGUGAGCACUUAAUAAUAACUACCCCUUGGUACAACUAUAUUUUACUUUCUUCUCUCUGAUUUUUCUUUCUUCUGAAUGGUUUUUUGAGUUAUUCAAAGCUUAAUAAACCCUGGCACCUCUAAAGAAUACAUGACCUGCGUAAUAGCUCAAAAGGUGAGAGAAUGAGCUAAAUACUUACCUUUGAUCUUGUAUUUAGUACACCUACAGGAAACGAUUACAAAAGGGAUGAAUUUCCCUCUCAAAACAAACCUUUUAUUUGUUCCCUAUAUUUAAUACUAAAAUAAGUCUUCUGACAUGCUUCCCUCUUCUCUCUGCUUUUUUCACAUAGGCUUUAUUUGUUAUAGUCACAGUCUAUUCAGAGGUUGAGCUUGGUCUAUAAAGAUCAGGUGUCUGUCUUGGAAGGGGCAUAUUAAUUGGCUUUUCAUUUUGUGGAGUACUAUGGCCAUAUUUUGGUUCAAUACAAGAGGUUUUAACUAACUUUGUUAUUACUUGCAUUUUUAAAUGAAUAAAAAGCUGCUAUUUUUCUUCUGCUUUUCAGUAAGCUUUCAAGGCUAGAGAAUAAGGAUGUUGACUGUUACAUCUAUUUAAUUAAAAAAUUUUGUUUGCUCUUGCAAAACCUUGGGUGGAAUGUCAUUACACAGAACUUUUUAGGAAGUAACACAAAGGUUUACAACUUGAGAAGCCAGAAGAAACAGCAGUUCUUUGUGGCUUUGUCUAUACUGUGGUUAUUACUGCUAAGGAUAGGUUGCAUAUAGAGAUGUCACCUUUCUCUUAAAACUAUGAACAGAGACCAAGCUAAAUGGUUCAUCCGUACAAAUAUUUAUUAACUGAAACCAACUUAACAAAAGAGGCAGGGAUGCAUUAGCACUGAAUUCCAGAAAAUGUAAGCUGUUUUUCUCAGUCUUGGAAAUUUGUAACUAUAUCAAGGUUGUAAUUCAACUUUCUGCUAAUUAAGCCAAAUGGUGUUUGUCAUUUAGUGUGAGAUUAACUGUAAAACUGAACUGCAGUUGUAAUGUUAAGAGAUUAUAGAAACUUAUAUUAAUAAUAAAAAGAAAAUGGGCCUAAACAA
Alligator mississippiensis (American alligator) is the source of this 4169-nucleotide long non-coding RNA. RefSeq lists it as uncharacterized. NCBI's taxonomy places the organism in Eukaryota, Metazoa, Chordata, Crocodylia, Alligatoridae. The transcript has 4 exons. The record is from RefSeq and is a predicted model, not a curated record.